GUAAAAAGGACCUAGUGACCUUCCUUUUCCAGGUUGUCAGGAUUUGAGAUUGUGAAUGCAAAAUCUGGGCCCAUAGAGCGUGCUGGAUAAAGGACCACGUCGCCACUGUCUCUGGGCGAGUCCCUGGAGCCCCGAAAAACACGGGCAGAGGGGCUGCCUGGCAUCGCAUCUACCAGAUGGGCACCCUGGGCGGACCCGGAGAUGCCCCACCACUCACGUCAGCACUGCACUUCCCAACCUUGGAGACAUCGCGGAGACACCGCGGGAACGCGCUUCUCUCUUCUUUCCGGAGGAGAAAGUAUUUUUAGCACACCCGGGAUCGAAUGUUGGCUCGGUGACCCAGUAGCCGUGCAACCCUGGACGACUCCCCGGGAGCAGAGAAAUACGAAAACCACACACCGAGAGGCUUCACGCAGCGUCCCUUCGAAGUCCGCACAGACCCCCAGUGAAGCUGUUGUGCUGACGAUUGAGGAAAGUUCUGAAGCACGGGAAGCAAGCCAAGG
This is a long non-coding RNA of Mustela lutreola (European mink), 503 nucleotides long. RefSeq lists it as uncharacterized. Lineage: Eukaryota; Metazoa; Chordata; Mammalia; Carnivora; Mustelidae. The record is from RefSeq and is a predicted model, not a curated record. The transcript has 3 exons.